CUAAUAUUUUUAAAAUAAUUUUUGUUAACUAAAUUUAAGUAAGGUAUCACCUAGUUGUACAUUUUUUAAAAAGUAAUAAUGGUGUAAAACUGAAAUUUAAAAAAAAUGUGCACAAAAACAAUUUCAUAUUGAUUUUUUUUUUUUGUAAGAGGGGACUUGUGAUCCCCCCAAAUUUUUUUUUGACUUUGAAAAACGUAAACAAUUAAAAAAAAUAAAAUUUCUUAAAUGAAAUAUUUUUCAAAAAUUAUAGAUGUUAAUAGUUAAAAUAUAUAUUUACAAAUAAAUAUUUAGGGGGGAUUAAUCCCCUAACAUCCCUUUCUAAAUACGCCAAUAUAGUUGACACUAAUUUCUUAAAAACACUUUCAUAUAUAUUUGUAUAACAAUUUAUUAAAAGCAAUGGGCUAAAACACAGAUCGUCUGCUGAGCUUUGUCGUCUAACAUCACUAAAUUUCAACUUGGAACUUCCUGUAUACGUCAAUACAUUAACCAUCGACGUAUAUACUAUUGCCCGUUUAUUGUGCCUAAUCGUCAGACUUCCACUAAAUUCCAAUUUGUAACCACCAGUAUGUUGUUAAUAAAAUAAUAACUACUAACGGAUACGACAUUGCUGUCCAUCCGUUGCGGCGCGUUCGCAUGAUAACAGUUGUCCGACCUCUUGAAAUAUAUUAUGUGCUCAAAUAACAUAAAGUAAAUUUGUCGUAAUUGAUUCAGAAACUAUUUGUUAUAAUUAAGUUCUAUUACAUUUGUUCGUGUCCAAUGCUGAAACAACGUUGUUAAAAAUUUGUAUACUUUGAAUUUACACAUAUUUUAGUUGUAAAAUUUAAUCAAUGUAAUUCCUAAUAAAUUUUUAAAUUACUGCAGCGUCUUAAAACAUAUGUUCAUUUUUUAAAAAAAAUAAUAUAAGCUAUUAUUGAAAUUACUUAAAUUAGCUAUUUAUUAAUUUACUCUAAAAAUUAUAUUAAAAUCUUAACAGUUUUCUUAUCGCUAUAAAAAUUAUAAAUGUCAAACAUUAUUUACAAAAAAGAUCGUAUUGGAUUUGCGAAAAUGUCACAGUAAAAAUUAAAUAUUAAAUAAAAAUUGCGCAAACUAAAACUUGUUCAGCGUUUGUUAAAUUCAAGCUAUACAGUGGCGGCUCGUGGUUUGGAUGACAGACAAUCAUACUCCCAACUAAAAUUAAUUAAAAGAAGAAAAUGAAUUGUAUUUUCUUAAUUUUACAUUUUUAUUAAAAAUACAAUUUUUUAAAUAGUAUAAUAGUUAUAAUACAUUUGUCGUGUGAAAACAUUAAAGUUGUUUCCCUUAGUAUAAGCGGGUACACAUACAAACACAAUCAGUGUUUGGACGACCAGCAGCGUCGUCCAUACGGUAAAAUAUUAGUAUAUUACUAUAUUGAUAAAUUCAUUUUUAACACGCUUAUAUUAGUUUCACGUGUAUGUUGUUUGUUUGUUGUUUGUUUGUCGUUUGUAAGUUUGUAACUCCACGCGGCACGUGUUAUUAUGUCGCGUAUCUCGUCGUGUAUGACCUUGAGACUAUACUGUUGUAAUGCAUUCGCCCCACCCCGCUCACCACUCGUAGACAACAAUAUUUUCUAACCCGUAGACGCGCGCGUGUCAUCAAUUAUGUAUAUAUAUAACAAAUUUUUAUUGUAAUUGACACGGCCCGCGUCGUUUCAUUAUACACAAUGCCCCACGACUCGUGCCACCUUUAUCAGCCGUCGCCCUAUUAUGAGUAUUUGACUGACCAACACCUCGCGUUAUACGCCGCUGUGCAAAGUCCAGCAAGCGCCGCACGCCCGACGACAUUCCGCCGCAAAUGAUACCGUAGUCUUCUUCCCGUUGUCAAAGUGACAACGUCUACGAUUCGAUCCGCACUCGCGCGCCGUCGCUAUCAACGCUGCUAACCUGUUGACGUCCGAGGAACACGCCGGACAACGCGUCGUCGAUGCCAGCGAAAGUGCCGCGAUAUUAUGCGAAGAUUAUAUAUUCCUACCGCCACCGCUAAUAUUAAUAUAUAUAUAUAUAUAUUAAUAUUUGUACGUAUAUACGUAUAUGUUAAUAUUCAUUUAUAUAUUCCUACAGCCGACGCCUCUGCUGCCGUAUAUGCCUCGUGUAUAAUGUUCCCUCCGCCAUGCCCGCCCACAUAAACACGGCUAUACCUAAUGCAUGAUACGUUUACGUACUUAAGUCCCUUCAAAUAUAUAUAUAUUCUAAUUACUAUUAAAACUUAUAUAUUAAUACACUUUAUUCUCAUUAAGAGAUAUGUAGUGUAUUCAUUCCGAUUACGGAGGAUGAUUCUCGUAUUGUUAUUUUUCGUCACUACCUCCACGUUACGCGCCUGCUGCUUUCCUUGGAUGUGGUAGCCGUUUCUUAGACUCCCUCUCCGGAAUCGAACCCUUAUUUCCCGUUACCCGUUACAACCAUGAUAUUGAUAUUAACUACUAUCAUAACAUGAAACUAAAAAGUGAAAAAUAAAUAUAGUUUAAAAAAACUAAAAAACACGCUUUUAAAGUACAUCGAACUAAAAAGUUAAAAAUAAUUUUUAAAAUUAACUUAAAACAAUAAUGAACGAAAAAUACUAGUAUUAUUGUGAAAAAAAGCGUCAGGCGCUCAAUAUACAAAAAAUAUGGCAUAAAGCACCCACGCUUUUUUUCACAAUAAUACUAGUAUUUUUCGUUCAUUAUUGUUUUAAGUUAAUUUUAAAAAUUAUUUUUAACUUUUUAGUUCGAUGUACUUUAAAAGCGUGUUUUUUAGUUUUUUUAAACUGUAUUUAUUCAUAAUUAGAAAUCACUGCGUUGACACUUAAUAAGUUCUAUUUAAAUUAAUUCAUAAGAUGCUUACAUAUUUAUGUGUAUACAUAUCAAUGAAACAAUUCAUUAUGGAAUUUUAAAUGCAUUCGAUUAGAAGAACAUAUUUCUAUUUCUCAUUUAAUUUAAGGAUAUGUAUAUAAAGUAUUAUGAAAUCUUAACAGCCUUAGAUCAUAAAAAUACAUCAGAUUUUUAAGUGUUAGUGUGAUGGAGACUAUUAAUUAUUUUAUAUUGGUAUUUAUUGCCACAUGUUAUUAUUAACCAGAAAAAGCUUUAGUUCAGCUGUCUUAUUUUGAAAAUAGAUUAUUCCAACAUGUUCAAUACAUAUUUGUUGCUAAUAAAAAUUAAAAAUUGCCUAUCAAAGACUUAGCACGGUUUAACCUCAAUUAUUAUUUUUAAAUGAAACUGGGGUACAUCAGAACUAAUUAACAUUUGGAUAUGAAAUUUAUAAUAUUAAUAAAUGAUUUAUUAAUUAUUAAUAAAGUAUCUAUGAAAAU
Long non-coding RNA from Daktulosphaira vitifoliae (grape phylloxera), 3297 nucleotides. RefSeq lists it as uncharacterized. NCBI's taxonomy places the organism in Eukaryota, Metazoa, Arthropoda, Insecta, Hemiptera, Phylloxeridae. The record is from RefSeq and is a predicted model, not a curated record. The transcript is spliced from 3 exons.